AGCGAACGCUGGCGGCGUGCUUAACACAUGCAAGUCGCGGGAGAAUGGAGGGCUUCGGCCUUCCUAGUAAACCGGCGCACGGGUGAGUAACACGUAGGUAACCUACCUCCGAGACCGGGAUAACCUAUCGAAAGAUUGGCUAAUACCGGAUAAGACCACGGGAGUCUCGGCUUCUGCGGUCAAAGGUGGCCUCUGCUUGCAAGCUACCACUUGGGGAUGGGCCUGCGGGCCAUUAGCUUGUUGGUGAGGUAACGGCUCACCAAGGCGGACGAUGGCUAGCCUGGUCUGAGAGGAUGAUCAGCCACACUGGGACUGAGACACGGCCCAGACUCCUACGGGUGGCUG
Molecule: ribosomal RNA, 345 nt
Filed under: uncultured Pseudomonadota bacterium
Lineage: Bacteria; Pseudomonadati; Pseudomonadota
Description: bacterial SSU rRNA
Rfam family: Bacterial small subunit ribosomal RNA
Source: RNAcentral